GAGUUUGAUCCUGGCUCAGAUUGAACGCUGGCGGCAUGCCUUACACAUGCAAGUCGAACGGCAGCACGGGAGCUUGCUCCUGGUGGCGAGUGGCGAACGGGUGAGUAAUGCAUCGGAACGUAUCCUGGAGUGGGGGGAUAACGUAGCGAAAGUUACGCUAAUACCGCAUAUUCUGUGAGCAGGAAAGCGGGGGACCUUCGGGCCUCGCGCUCUUGGAGCGGCCGAUGUCGGAUUAGCUAGUUGGUGAGGUAAAGGCUCACCAAGGCGACGAUCCGUAGCAGGUCUGAGAGGAUGAUCUGCCACACUGGAACUGAGACACGGUCCAGACUCCUACGGGAGGCAGCAGUGGGGAAUUUUGGACAAUGGGGGCAACCCUGAUCCAGCCAUGCCGCGUGAGUGAAGAAGGCC
RNAcentral lists this ribosomal RNA (408 nucleotides) under bacterium enrichment culture clone ALO1_GLFRUDD03F7EE4. RNAcentral's name for it is "bacterial SSU rRNA". It matches the Rfam family "Bacterial small subunit ribosomal RNA", at positions 9 to 416 of the family's 1533-position model. The record is from RNAcentral. RNAcentral also lists the same sequence under 2 other names.